This 433-nucleotide ribosomal RNA is filed under the name uncultured bacterium. Its description in RNAcentral is "partial 16S ribosomal RNA". It matches the Rfam family "Bacterial small subunit ribosomal RNA", at positions 29 to 507 of the family's 1533-position model. The record is from RNAcentral.
AACGAACGCUGGCGGCAUGCCUAACACAUGCAAGUCGAACGAAGGCUUCGGCCUUAGUGGCGCACGGGUGCGUAACGCGUGGGAAUCUGCCCUUUGGUUCGGAAUAACAGCUGGAAACGGCUGCUAAUACCGGAUGAUGACGAAAGUCCAAAGAUUUAUCGCCAGAGGAUGAGCCCGCGUUGGAUUAGGUAGUUGGUGGGGUAAAGGCCUACCAAGCCGACGAUCCAUAGCUGGUCUGAGAGGAUGAUCAGCCACACUGGGACUGAGACACGGCCCAGACUCCUACGGGAGGCAGCAGUGGGGAAUAUUGGACAAUGGGCGCAAGCCUGAUCCAGUAAUGCCGCGUGAGUGAUGAAGGCCCUAGGGUUGUAAAGCUCUUUUACCCGGGAAGAUAAUGACUGUACCGGGAGAAUAAGCCCCGGCUAACUCCGUG